GAUGAACGCUGGCGGCGUGCCUAAUACAUGCAAGUCGAGCGAACGGACGAGAAGCUUGCUUCUCUGAUGUUAGCGGCGGACGGGUGAGUAACACGUGGAUAACCUACCUAUAAGACUGGGAUAACUUCGGGAAACCGGAGCUAAUACCGGAUGAUAUUUUGAACCGCAUGGUUCAAAAGUGAAAGACGGUCUUGCUGUCACUUAUACAUGGAUCCGCGCUGCAUUAGCUAGUUGGUAAGGUAACGGCUUACCAAGGCAACGAUGCAUAGCCGACCUGAGAGGGUGAUCGGCCACACUGGAACUGAGACACGGUCCAGACUCCUACGGGAGGCAGCAGUAGGGAAUCUUCCGCAAUGGGCGAAAGCCUGACGGAGCAACGCCGCGUGAGUGAUGAAGGUCUUCGGAUCGUAAAACUCUGUUAUUAGGGAAGAACAUAUGUGUAAGUAACUGUGCACAUCUUGACGGUACCUAAUCAGAAAGCCACGGCUAACUACGUG
RNAcentral lists this ribosomal RNA (497 nucleotides) under uncultured bacterium. RNAcentral's name for it is "partial 16S ribosomal RNA". It matches the Rfam family "Bacterial small subunit ribosomal RNA", at positions 28 to 507 of the family's 1533-position model. The record is from RNAcentral.